GGUUGCGAUCAUACCAGCACUAAUGCACCGGAUCCCAUCAGAACUCCGCAGUUAAGCGUGCUUGGGCGAGAGUAGUACUCAGGAUGGGUGACCCCCUGGGGAAGUCCUCGUGUUGCAACCC
RNAcentral lists this ribosomal RNA (121 nucleotides) under Helianthus annuus (common sunflower). The record is from RNAcentral. Lineage: Eukaryota; Viridiplantae; Streptophyta; Magnoliopsida; Asterales; Asteraceae.